AUUGAACGCUGGCGGCAUGCCUAACACAUGCAAGUCGAACGGCAGCACGGUCUAGUUUACUAGAUGGGUGGCGAGUGGCGGACGGGUGAGUAAUGCGCAGGAAUAUGCCUUAAAGAGGGGGAUAACUUGGGGAAACUCAAGCUAAUACCGCAUAAUCUCUAUGGAGAAAAGCUGGGGACCUUCGGGCCUGGCGCUUUAAGAUUAGCCUGCGUCCGAUUAGCUAGUUGGUAGGGUAAAGGCCUACCAAGGCGACGAUCGGUAGCUGGUCUGAGAGGAUGACCAGCCACACUGGAACUGAGACACGGUCCAGACUCCUACGGGAGGCAGCAGUGGGGAAUAUUGGACAAUGGGGGCAACCCUGAUCCAGCAAUGCCGCGUGUGUGAAGAAGGCCUGAGGGUUGUAAAGCACUUUCAGUGGGGAGGAGGAUUGCUAGGUUAAGAGCUAGGUAAUUGGACGUUACCCACAGAAGAAGCACCGGCUAACUCCGUGCCAGCCGCCGCCGUAA
Molecule: ribosomal RNA, 506 nt
Filed under: uncultured bacterium
Lineage: Bacteria
Description: partial 16S ribosomal RNA
Rfam family: Bacterial small subunit ribosomal RNA
Source: RNAcentral